GACGAACGCUGGCGGCGUGCCUAAUACAUGCAAGUUGAGCGAUGAAGAUUGGUGCUUGCACCUAUUUGAAGAGCAGCGAACGGGUGAGUAACGCGUGGGGAAUCUGCCUUUGAGCGGGGGACAACAUUUGGAAACGAAUGCUAAUACCGCAUAACAACUUUAAACAUAAGUUUUAAGUUUGAAAGAUGCAAUUGCUUCACUCAAAGAUGAUCCCGCGUUGUAUUAGGUAAGUGGGGAGGUAAACGCUCACCAAGGCGAAGAUACAUAGCCGACCUGAGAGGGGAGUCGGCCACAUUGGGACUGAGACACCGCCCAAGCUCCUACCGGAGGGAGCAGUAGGGGAUCUUCGGCAAUGGACGAAAGUCUGACCGAGCAACGGCGCGUUAGUGAAUAAGGUUUUCGGAUCGUAAAACUCUGUUGGUAGGGAAGAACGUUGGUGAGAGUGGAAAGCUCAUCAAGUGACGGUAACUACCCAGAAAGGGACGGCUAACUACGUG
RNAcentral lists this ribosomal RNA (497 nucleotides) under uncultured bacterium. RNAcentral's name for it is "partial 16S ribosomal RNA". It matches the Rfam family "Bacterial small subunit ribosomal RNA", at positions 28 to 507 of the family's 1533-position model. The record is from RNAcentral.